Molecule: non-coding RNA, 97 nt
Organism: Ceratobasidium sp. 414
Lineage: Eukaryota; Fungi; Basidiomycota; Agaricomycetes; Cantharellales; Ceratobasidiaceae
Source: the annotation of a GenBank genome assembly
GCCCGGAUGGUCUAGUGGUAUGAUUCGCCCUUAGGGAGCCUGAAAGGACCCUGAAUUUCAAUGGGCGAGGUCCCCGGUUCAAUCCCGGGUUCGGGCC